UGGGGAAUUUUGCACAAUGGGGGAAACCCUGAUGCAGCGACGCCGCGUGAUUUAGAAGGCCUUCGGGUUGUAAAAAUCUUUUCUAUGGGAAGAAAAUGACAGUACCAUAGGAAUAAGGACCGGCUAAUUACGUGCCAGCAGCCGCGGUAAUACGUAAGGUCCGAGCGUUGUCCGGAAUCAUUGGGCGUAAAGGGUACGUAGGCGGGUAAGCAAGUUAGAAGUGAAAUCCUAUAGCUCAACUACAGUAAGCUUUUAAAACUGCUCAUCUUGAGAUAUGGAAGGGAAAGUGGAAUUCCUAGUGUAGCGGUGAAAUGCGCAGAUAUUAGGAGGAAUACCGGUGGCGAAGGCGACUUUCUGGCCAUAAUCUGACGCUGAGGUACGAAAGCGUGGGUAGCAAACAGG
This 402-nucleotide ribosomal RNA is filed under the name Bacteroidota bacterium. RNAcentral's name for it is "Bacteroidetes bacterium partial 16S ribosomal RNA". It matches the Rfam family "Bacterial small subunit ribosomal RNA", at positions 355 to 776 of the family's 1533-position model. The record is from RNAcentral. Lineage: Bacteria; Pseudomonadati; Bacteroidota.